RNAcentral lists this ribosomal RNA (441 nucleotides) under Porphyromonas sp. oral taxon 279. Its description in RNAcentral is "bacterial SSU rRNA". It matches the Rfam family "Bacterial small subunit ribosomal RNA", at positions 28 to 459 of the family's 1533-position model. Lineage: Bacteria; Pseudomonadati; Bacteroidota; Bacteroidia; Bacteroidales; Porphyromonadaceae. The record is from RNAcentral.
GAUGAACGCUAGCGAUAGGCUUAACACAUGCAAGUCGAGGGGCAGCAUGGUCUUAGCUUGCUAAGACUGAUGGCGACCGGCGCACGGGUGCGUAACGCGUAUGCAACUUGCCUCACAGAGGGGGAUAACCCGUCGAAAGACGGACUAAUACCGCGUACACUUGGGAUAGGGCAUCCUAUCCCAAGGAAAUGAAAUUCGCUGUGAGAUAGGCAUGCGUCCCAUUAGCUAGUUGGUGAGGUAACGGCUCACCAAGGCGACGAUGGGUAGGGGAACUGAGAGGUUGAACCCCCACACUGGUACUGAGACACGGACCAGACUCCUACGGGAGGCAGCAGUGAGGAAUAUUGGUCAAUGGGCGAGAGCCUGAACCAGCCAAGUCGCGUGAAGGAUGACUGUCUUAUGGAUUGUAAACUUCUUUUAUACGGGAAUAACAAGAGCCAC